AGAGUUUGAUCCUGGCUCAGAUUGAACGCUGGCGGCAUGCCUUACACAUGCAAGUCGAACGGUAACAGGGAGCUUGCUCCGCUGACGAGUGGCGAACGGGUGAGUAAUAUAUCGGAACGUGCCUGGUAAUGGGGGACAACUAGUCGAAAGAUUAGCUAAUACCGCAUACGCCCUACGGGGGAAAGAGGGGGUUCGCAAGAACCUCUCGUUAUCAGAGCGGCCGAUAUCUGAUAGCUAGUUGGUGAGGAAAGGCUCACCAAGGCUUCGUCAGUAGCUGGCUGAGAGGACGACCAGCCACACUGGGACUGAGACACGGCCCAGACUCCUACGGAGGCAGCAGUGGGGAAUUUUGGACAAUGGGCGCAAGCUGAUCCAGCAAUGCCGCGUGAGUGAAAAAGCUCGGGUUGUA
Molecule: ribosomal RNA, 409 nt
Filed under: uncultured bacterium
Lineage: Bacteria
Description: bacterial SSU rRNA
Rfam family: Bacterial small subunit ribosomal RNA
Source: RNAcentral